CUCUUUGUUUCUUGGCUGCCUCGUGGUAAGGAACUACUGGAGGAAGACUCAUGCCUAGUAUUUGCUGAACCUGAAAACUUCUUUAAGCUGCAGUUGUUGUGCUGGCCUCCUAGGAUAUUCAGCAGCUGGUCCUGUCACCUUCCAGAUAUUCAUAUGCUCAGCCAAAUCUGCAUAACUGUAAAUCAACACUAAGAGCAGUGGAAGGUUAAAGGUAAAGGAGAGUCUCACAAAGGAUCCAGGAAAUCAUUGCAUAUAUGGAAUGUAUGGGAAGGUCAUGGAUCAAGACAGCCAGUACAUUGUUCUUGAACACAUGAAUAUUCAAGAGAAGUCUUCUAAAUGUAACAAGCCUAGCAAUGUGUUUCUAGAAUCCCCCCAUUAUACACCUCACAAAUGUACUGAAUGUGACAAAUGCUUUUCCCAAAAAUCUCAUCUUAAUAUUCAUCAGAAAAUUCAUGCAGGAGAGAAACCUUACAAAUGCAGUGGAUGUGACAAAUGCUUUACUGAAAAAGGCAGUCUGAGAAGGCAUCAGAGAAUUCAUACAGGAGAGAAACCUUACAAAUGCAGUGAAUGUGACAAAUGCUUUACUAGAAAAGGCACUCUGAGAAUUCAUCAGAGAAUUCAUACAGGAGAGAAACCUUACAAAUGCAGUGAAUGUGACAAAUGCUUUACCCAAAAAUUUAAUUUGAGAUCUCAUCAGAGAAUUCAUACAGGAGAGAAACCUUACAAAUGCAGUGAAUGUGACAAUUGCUUUACUGAAAAAGGCAAUCUGAGAAGGCAUCAGAGAAUUCAUACAGGAGAGAAACCUUACAAAUGUAGUGAAUGUGACAAAUUCUUUACCCGAAAAUCCCAUCUUAGUAUUCAUCAGAAAUUUCAUACAGGAGAGAAACCUUACAAAUGCAGUGAAUGUGAGAAAUACUAACAAAGACAAUCUGAGAAUUCAUCAGAGAAUUAAUAAUGGAUAGAAACCUUACAAAUGUAGUCAAUGUGACAAAUGCUUUACCCGAAAAAUCCAAUCUUAGUAUUCAUCAGAAAGUUCAUACAGGAGAAAAAUCUUACAAAUAUAGUCAGUGUGACAAAUGCUUUACCUACCAAGCCAAGCUUAGUAUUCAUCAGAAAAUUCAUACAGGAGAGAAGCCUUACAAAUGCAGUGAAUAUGAGAAAUGCUUUACUAACAAAAGCAAUCUGAGAAUUCAUCAGAGACUUCACACAGAAGAGAAACCUUACAAAUGUCAUGAAUGUGACAAGUGCUCUCCCCAAAAAUCCCAUCUUAGUAUUCAUCAGGGAAUUCAUAAAGGAGAGAAACCUUACAAAUGUAGUGAAUGUGACAAAUGCUGUACCAGACAAUCCAAUCUUAGUAUGCAUCAGAGAAUUCAUACAGGAGAGAAACCUUACAAAUGUAGUGAAUGUGACAAAUUCUUUACCCGAAAAUCCCAUCUUAGUAUUCAUCAGAAAUUUCAUUCAGGAGAGAAACCUUACAAAUGCAGUGAAUGUGAGAAAUGGUUUACUAACAAAGACAAUCUAAGAAUUCAUCAGAGAAUUCAUACAGUAGAGAAAGAAACCUUACAAAUAGUUACAAACCUUACAAAUACAAUACAAUGUGAGGCUGAGAAAUCAUCAGUUAUUUCAUACAGUAGAGGAUCUUUAUAAAGUGAAAGAAGAAACUUUUCAAAUAUAUUGAAGGUAUGAAUCCUAGAAUGUAACAGUUAAUACUUACAGGCUAGAAACUUAACACAUGCAUUAUAUGAAGAAAUAUUCUUGACUUCAUUUCAGGUCAGAGAAAACAUCUAAGAACUUUUUAAGGGAAAGUAUUUCUGUUGGGGAAAAUGUGGCAUAUGUUUUAUUCACAGUGUCCUGGCAACACUUGAGGCUCCACACUAGAGAAUUAGUAUGAUUAUGAAAAUCUUGUGAAAAUUUUCAUGCAAUGUUCAAAUCUUAGGUAAUGUCAACUAUUUAUGCUGUGAGAAACUCUGAACAUGUGGAAAUGUAGAAAGCUUUUCAUGAUACCCUUUUACUUGUUCACCCUCAAAUAUUACAAGAUGAAGACAAGUUGGGAAGUCAGAAGAGAGUAUUGUGUAACACUUUCAUUGAGACAGAAGUAAUCCAUUUCAAAAGGGAACUAUUUAAGGUCUUUAAUAAAACCCUCAAAAUAUCUAAUAAAACUGGUAACACUCUGUAUAUUUAAUUCAAAUGACCCAAUUCAGAAAAAUUAUACUUAAAAGAGUAUCUGGCAAACUGAGCCACCCAGUCAGCAUAUUCUUUAUCCUAUAAGUAUGCUUACAGAUGUGAAGUAUGCUUCGAGUAUCCAGUAAUCAUAAUUCUUCUCAAAUGCUUGUUUCACAUUAUAGGAUAACAAAUGACUAUGAGUCUCUUGUGAUCUGGUCAACAAGUCCUUUCCUAUUGUCCUGUAACUAACUCCAAUAAAGCUGAAAUUUCUACAA
RNAcentral lists this long non-coding RNA (2438 nucleotides) under Mus musculus (house mouse). RNAcentral describes it as "predicted gene, 42346, transcript variant 1 (Gm42346)". Lineage: Eukaryota; Metazoa; Chordata; Mammalia; Rodentia; Muridae. The record is from RNAcentral.